RNAcentral lists this ribosomal RNA (488 nucleotides) under uncultured bacterium. RNAcentral describes it as "partial 16S ribosomal RNA". It matches the Rfam family "Bacterial small subunit ribosomal RNA", at positions 28 to 507 of the family's 1533-position model. The record is from RNAcentral.
GACGAACGCUGGCGGCGUGCUUAACACAUGCAAGUCGAACGGAAAGGCCCUGCUUUUGUGGGGUGCUCGAGUGGCGAACGGGUGAGUAACACAUGAGUAACCUGCCCUUGACUGUGGGAUAACUGCAGGAAACUGGGGCUAAUACCGGAUAGGAGCUCCUGCUGCAUGGGGGGGGUUGGGAAGUUUCGGCGGUUGGGGAUGGACUCGCGGCUUAUCAGCUUGUUGGUGGGGUAGGGGCCUACCAAGGCGAUGACGGGUAGCCGGACUGAGAGGGUGACCGGCCACCCUGGGACUGAGACACGGCCCAGACUCCUACGGGAGGCAGCAGUGGGGAAUUUUGGACAAUGGGCGAAAGCCUUAUCCAGCAAUGCCGCGUGUGUGAAGAAGGCCUUCGGGUUGUAAAGCACUUUUGUCCGGAAAGAAAUCCUUGGCUCUAAUACAGUCGGGGGAUGACGGUACCGGAUGAAUAAGCACCGGCUAACUACGUG